AUGCUUAGAGGAUGAUUAUCCUGGUGGGGAGUGCUCACUGAGCCCUCAGUGUUAGCACUAACUUGGGUUGAUUUUCAGAACCUCUAAGACAAGUUCUCUUUCCCACUGUCUUCUUCCAUUGGCCAUUCUUUCCACACAAUACAAAAACAGUGAUUAAAUUUCUUUUCUUUUUCCUCCUUUCUUCUUCCUUCCCUUCUUUUCCCCUUUUUCAUAAUUGGAGAUGGAAGCCAGGACCUUGCAUAUUCUAGGCAAACGUUCUACCACUGAGUUACAUACCCAGCCCGGACCACUUUUCUUUAGGAACAUACACCAACAUGGCUCCUUUGUGCCGAUGACAAGCACCGGGUUAAUGGUCCAGCCUGAGGAAGGCCCUGGGAGGUCUGGGCUGUGAUGCUUUACUGUGUGCUCCUUUGCAUCUGUCCACUCCACUUGCCUUUUAUUUUUCUUCCUUUCAUCUUAUCUCCUCCCCUGAAGAUAUUCUGAGUCAGGCUUUGGACACAGGAACAUCUCCUCCCCAGGAGUGCACAGUCCCUCUUUUCCCUUCCUGCCCUGUCCUCUGCAGGGCCUGGUACUGAAGAGGGAGCCCAGAUAUGGUACAGAAGCCUUGGAGAGCCUCUCCUCAGCCUGCUUUCUCUGGGCCUGGGGAGCAUCACACCCCGGGAUGCCCCAGAACAUGAUGGAUUCCCCAGACAGUGGCAGCCCUUGGUCACAGGUGAACUCGUCCCUUGCAUACCUCCACCAAAGAUGUGUCACUGGAGGGUGUCACACAGUGGUUGUCCACAUGCGUUCCUUCACUGGUGGACUGGAGCUUCCGAGUCAAAGUCUGAGAGCAGAGGUGAGACUUUU
This 846-nucleotide long non-coding RNA is filed under the name Rattus norvegicus (Norway rat). RNAcentral describes it as "long non-coding RNA NONRATT004680". The record is from RNAcentral. Lineage: Eukaryota; Metazoa; Chordata; Mammalia; Rodentia; Muridae.